UACAGAGGUCCCAAGCGUUGUUCGGAUUCAUUGGGCGUAAAGGGUGCGUAGGCGGCGCGGUAAGUCGGGUGUGAAAUCUCGGGGGCUUAACUCCGAAACUGCAUUCGAUACUGCCGUGCUUGAGGACUGGAGAGGAGACUGGAAUUUACGGUGUAGCGGUGAAAUGCGUAGAUAUCGUAAGGAAGACCAGUGGCGAAGGCGGGUCUCUGGACAGUUCCUGACGCUGAGGCACGAAGGCCAGGGGAGCAAACGGG
This 254-nucleotide ribosomal RNA is filed under the name uncultured bacterium. RNAcentral's name for it is "partial 16S ribosomal RNA". It matches the Rfam family "Bacterial small subunit ribosomal RNA", at positions 524 to 776 of the family's 1533-position model. The record is from RNAcentral.